GUGGGGAAUAUUGGACAAUGGGCGAAAGCCUGAUCCAGCAAUGCCGCGUGAGUGAUGAAGGCCCUAGGGUUGUAAAGCUCUUUUACCCGGGAUGAUAAUGACAGUACCGGGAGAAUAAGCUCCGGCUAACUUCGUGCCAGCAGCCGCGGUAAUACGAGGGGAGCUAGCGUUGUUCGGAAUUACUGGGCGUAAAGCGCGCGUAGGCGGUUUUUUAAGUCAGAGGUGAAAGCCCGGGGCUCAACCCCGGAAUUGCCUGUGAAACUGGAAAACUAGAAUCUUGGAGAGGUCAGUGGAAUUCCGAGUGUAGAGGUGAAAUUCGUAGAUAUUCGGAAGAACACCAGUGGCGAAGGCGACUGACUGGACAAGUAUUGACGCUGAGGUGCGAAAGCGUGGGGAGCAAACAGGAUUAGAUACCCCGGUAGUCC
Molecule: ribosomal RNA, 425 nt
Filed under: uncultured bacterium
Lineage: Bacteria
Description: partial 16S ribosomal RNA
Rfam family: Bacterial small subunit ribosomal RNA
Source: RNAcentral